CCAGUGCUUUAGCAUCACAGCUCCCCAGGUCCAGCAGGUGGAGGCGACUACGACCCCCUGACACUGAAAUGUGUGGAAAAACAGGAUGAAACUGAAGUGGAGCUUUUAAAAAGAGAACAAAGAAUGGAUCCCUGCCCAAUCCAACAGGACAAUUUAGUGAGUUUGACAGUGAAGCUGCAGCUCUUAAGGCUGUCAAGUCCUGGUUCUGUGGCUGACUGCUUCAGCCAGCUGCACAGGAACGUUGCACUGCAGACUAUAAAACACCGGGGAAGUUGCGUUCAAGAGGCUUGUUACCCAGUUUGGAGUGUCCGAAGCAGAAGAUGCAGCCGUCCGCUCCGUUCACCACUGA
Molecule: long non-coding RNA, 349 nt
Organism: Xiphophorus maculatus (southern platyfish)
Lineage: Eukaryota; Metazoa; Chordata; Actinopteri; Cyprinodontiformes; Poeciliidae
Exons: 4
Source: RefSeq, a predicted model, not a curated record